GACGAACGCUGGCGGCGUGCCUAAUACAUGCAAGUUGAGCGAUGAAGAUUGGUGCUUGCACCAAUUUGAAGAGCAGCGAACGGGUGAGUAACGCGUGGGGAAUCUGCCUUUGAGCGGGGGACAACAUUUGGAAACGAAUGCUAAUACCGCAUAACAACUUUAAACAUAAGUUUUAAGUUUGAAAGAUGCAAUUGCAUCACUCAAAGAUGAUCCCGCGUUGUAUUAGCUAGUUGGUGAGGUAAAGGCUCACCAAGGCGAUGAUACAUAGCCGACCUGAGAGGGUGAUCGGCCACAUUGGGACUGAGACACGGCCCAAACUCCUACGGGAGGCAGCAGUAGGGAAUCUUCGGCAAUGGACGAAAGUCUGACCGAGCAACGCCGCGUGAGUGAAGAAGGGUUUCGGAUCGUAAAACUCUGUUGGUAGAGAAGAACGUUGGUGAGAGUGGAAAGCUCAUCAAGUGACGGUAACUAACCAGAAAGGGACGGCUAACUACGUG
RNAcentral lists this ribosomal RNA (497 nucleotides) under uncultured bacterium. RNAcentral describes it as "partial 16S ribosomal RNA". It matches the Rfam family "Bacterial small subunit ribosomal RNA", at positions 28 to 507 of the family's 1533-position model. The record is from RNAcentral.